AUGGACAUUGCACUCAUCCCCAGUGCCAACUGGUACAAACAGGUUCCAGGAUGUAUACAAUUACAAUUUCCAGCACAUGUACUAAGGUUUUACCAUUCCUGGAGAUCUCCAUAUGUACAGUUACUUACCAUCUUGGCUAAAGGAACAAAGCUCAUCGUCACUGACUCUGUCCUCCCAGCUCCUGUUCUGACUCUCUUCCCUCCAUCCAGUGAGGAGCUGAAGUCAGAAAAGGUCACUCUGGUUUGUGUGGCUAAUGACCUCUCUGUGGGUUUUGCUGAUGUCAGUUGGACAGUGAGUGGGAAAUCAGUCACUGAUGGAGUUUUCACCAGUUCUGUUGAAAAACAGAGCAACCAGAAUUUUAUAUCCUGGCUUUUCAGUAGAGAACCAGAAAAGUUCAAAGUGAGCAGUUUUUUGAGUCUUCCAACCUCUGAGUGGGAGAGUGACAAAGAGGUUUCAUGUCAAAUGUCAGUUGGAUCAAAAUCCUCUGAGAAAAAAAUAAAGAAGUCUGACUGCAGUAACUGACAUCAGUGACAUGAAG
Molecule: non-coding RNA, 538 nt
Organism: Chanos chanos (milkfish)
Lineage: Eukaryota; Metazoa; Chordata; Actinopteri; Gonorynchiformes; Chanidae
Source: the annotation of a RefSeq genome assembly